RNAcentral lists this ribosomal RNA (999 nucleotides) under uncultured bacterium. Its description in RNAcentral is "partial 16S ribosomal RNA". The record is from RNAcentral.
GCAUUCCUUCANGCCACGCGCGCGUUUNGCUCCCUCACACUGGGCGGUUGGUUUUUCACGCUCUCUCACUCCUGGCCGGUCGUUUUCCUCACUUGCCGUCGCCGGCGGCCCGCCCGGUGGCGCGUGGGGCGGGUGCGCUCUCCUCUCCUCGUCGGGGGGCUUCACACGCUUCAGGGGGUCUCACACUUCUUCACGACCCUUCNCAUUCACCCGCUCAUUCACGUCACCCUUCACGGGUGGUCNCGNCAGCCCCAGGGGUCAUCUCUCGGUCACUCCUUUGCGCGAUCAUUGUCACAUCGUCAGCCCCGUCAUGGUCGGGUCAUUUUCAGCUUCAGUUUGGCGGGGUUCACACAGGACCGCUCACCUCACNGGUCGUCACGUCAUUCCCGUUUCCCAGGCCUUGGUCCUUUCGGUUCAGCUCAGGUCAUGUCAUUCCUCGAGGCGCCUCGACGUCUCACUUGGGGGUCCUCCACCCUUGUCCAGUCACCUCACCGUGGGUUCCCCAAGUCAACUUUCCCCCUUUUCANCGGCGGAGGGUUCAGGCGGGCUCCAGCUCCAGNNUGGGGAGGUCACAUUUCCAUUUGGGGGCNACUCCUNCAUUGGGGGGCCGGCCUCUCAGGGCCCCCUUUGGUCAUUCCCGUCCAGGUCUCCUNCAUUUCNACCCCUGGUCCGGCUACGGGGGGCNUUGGUCCACAGUUCCAACANGAGGCGGCCUUCUGCCGCGAGGGGGCAUUCUUUGGGUUUCACCACGAGGCCGCCGCUGUUCUUUUUACCGGGGUCUUGGGGGGGGUCCAUCAUCANGGCUACAUCAUUGCGCCUCAAGGCCCCUGGUGGGCCUUUCAACAUUUCCAACCGCCCUUCGCAGGGCUUCAUGGGGCGGGAGGUUCAAUUCUGUCACCCGGGGAGUUUCCACCCGCCGGCCAACNCCAGGGNCAUCCAUUCCNNCAGGGCCGUCUACCGCCCGGAUGGCCUUUUCAUCCACUUUUCGCGGUGUGUGUC